This is a non-coding RNA of Callithrix jacchus (white-tufted-ear marmoset), 3800 nucleotides long. The record is from RefSeq and is a predicted model, not a curated record. Lineage: Eukaryota; Metazoa; Chordata; Mammalia; Primates; Cebidae.
AAUCAACAUAGUUCUCCAUCCUGGCCCCUCUUUCACAUGAUGGAGAAAAAGCAAUCGGAAGUUAAUUUUUGGAACAAGAUAAUCAACAGUUCACUGCAUAAUAUAUAGCAGAUGCAACCUGGCUCACUCUUUUGAAUGAGUAAUCAGAGAAUCUUGCAUAACAUUUUGACACCUUGAAAAUAUGGCUGUUUUUUUCCUGGAGCUUGGAUGAAUCUGGUCUUCAGGAAGUAUCGUAGUCUCCCUUUGGAAAUGGGCUACUCUAGGUCUGCAAUCUGUUCUUUAUUUCCUCACCCUAAGAAAAUGUGUUCACCAUGUUCAUGCUUAAAUACUGCUCAUAUCACUUUUUCACAAUCCUUCUGUCUUCACUCUGAGAAUAUACUGACUACUUCCCGACUUUCUGGAACAUAGGCUUGAGCAAGCUCCCCAAAAGAACAAUAAAUACUUGGAUUCAUCAAGAUGAACACUCUAACAUAAAACUUAUUCUCAGGUUUCAAGUUUUGUUUUUCUGAGUUUUGGUGGCACAUUAUAAACCCAGGUGAACAACAUGAAGAGAAGACAACACAUACAUGUCCCAAAUGGGAGAAUUCAUCAAUAAACGGGGUGAGUUGGUUUUCAACUUAUGCCCAUCGGCCUCCGGACUCAGUGGGAAGUCAUGUGUGAAGGAUGCUCUCCAGCCCCAUAGCUGCCCAUGGGAAUCAUCGUAAAGCAGUCUGCCAGAAGGAAUGUGUGAGCAAAUGACAAACGGUACCUGACUCCAGGGGAAAAUAGACUUGGGGAAGCUUUUAAUGCCAAGCUUUAUAAUGUUUAGGAUGAAAUACUGCAUCAGAUUUCUCAUGAGGAUGGAAAUGACCUCAGAUCAGUUUAACAAAGCAUUCUCCAGCAGAAGAGAACAUGCUUGAAUAGAAAAAGAAAAUAACGUAGUACUUAAAGCGUAAAGAGGGCUUCCUUUUCUACCUAUUGCCUGACUCUCCCCACUCUUUCAUCCUGACUCCCAUUCUAUAACUCCCAGUCAUGCUCACUUUUAAAAAGUCCCUCUAAGUGGAUUUUCUGAGUUGGUCCUGAGGGCAAGUAUCCUGCCCCAUUGAACUCAGAAGUACCUUCAUGAUUGUCAGGCCAUGUAUCCCACUUGGUUUUGGUUCAGAAAACAUGGGCAUCAUGUUUACAUCUAGUCAGUCAUCAGUUCCUGCCUUUCCUAUUUUUUAGGCAUAGCUCAUCUCUACCCAUCCUCUUUGUUCUCUUUGCCACCAUCUUAGCCGAGCUCAUUUUCAGACUCAAUUAAUGCCGUGAUUUUCUUACUAUUUCUAUCUGGAUUGAUGGAAAUAGAAAGGGUGAGACGAAUGCAAGAGGUAUUUUCCAGGCAAAAUUUAGAUGACCCUGGAAUAUGAUACAGAGAUGAGUGAAGGCAUCAGUGAUUAUUCUUAAGGGGGUGGCCUGCCUAGAAGAACCUGAGCAUUUAGCCCCAUGUGACAUUUCCCACCCUAUGUCCAGUUCCCAAAUAAAAACAAAUACACAAACAAAGAACCUGAGUGACUGCAUCAGGCUGGCCGCCUUCCAUCAGGAUGUAGAAAGGAAUCCUACUUUCGAUGACUAAAGGCACAAUACUGGCAUUUUAGUUGCUUAAUUUAAUUUAAUCCCUUAAUUUGAUCCAAGACUCUGAUUCUAAGGAUCUCCCCACUAUUGCAGCUUGCCUUGACAUCCACAUACGGUGUCCUCUAUAGCAUUCCUCUUUAUUUUGACAUGAAAGCCUAUACAAAAUAAAGUAGGACUAGUUAAAUUUAAAGUAACUUCCAGUUCCUAAAGUCUGUGAAUUUUUGUCUUAAAUUUUUAGGAAAUAAUGAUUCUCUAUCUAAUCUAUCUUUUGUAUUUCCUCUUUAUUUGAUGAUUUCAGAAUUGAGAUCUUUUGAUGUCUUUUGUUUUUUCUUAUGUUUCAUGAAUUGGUAUGAUAAGGGAACAGAGGAAUACUCAAUAAAUAUUAUCGAUGAGACUUUUAAUAAUGAGGAAAGACAGAUGCUGAAUAUUCAUUACUUAUUGAUUUUUAAAGUUACCUAGGUAAAUGAGUGGACUUGAUGUUACUUCUCCCUGUUUGUGAUUUUCUUUUGCUAUGUAGAGAAGAUGCUGUUUCAUAUAUUCAGUUAAAAAAUGUGCAUAGGGAAAGGAGAAAAAUCAUGUCUUAAGGCUUAAGUGUAUUCCAGAAUCCAUCUUCCCCUGGUUGUUUAUGUGGCUGAGGUUGAUGACCCUGAAAUUAGAACAGAUUAGGUUUCCUUGGCUUCAAUCAUCUUUUAUAUGAGGAGAGUGUUUUCAAAAUAGCUCAAUCAGGAGAAAACAUGACUGAGAAGCCAGCUCAUUUUACUGCCUCACUAUACAGCGAUGCACUUUAAGAAAAGUGAAUCAUUUUUCUAUGGAGUUUACUUUUUCCAUUGUAGAAGUAAUACACACUCAUUACAAAAAGUUCAGAAAUAUAAAAUAGAAGGAGUGAAAAUUUUUCCCAUAUUACAGAUACUCAAAGGUAACUAAGGUCACCCUUUCAGUUGGUAACUAUCCAGCCCCCUUUAAUAUACGAUUUUGAGUACCUGUUUUUUAGCAACUUUUUAAUGGCUUCAUAAUACUACAUUUAAUUGCUACAAUGUAACCUCUGCAACAUAAAUUAUUUAUUGGGCAUCCAGGUGAUAUUCAAUUUUUCAUUUUCUUAGAAUAUGCUAUAAUGAGCAUCUUUGAGCUUUUCCAGUAAUUAGGAUUAAUUUCUUAGAAUAGAUUAUGCAAAGUGAAUGUUUUUAAGGCUCAUAAUUUUGCCAAAUUAAUUUAAAAAACUUUUAUCAGUGUAUGAGUGUCUUUUUCAUCUCCCAUUUAUCAGUGCAGAAUCUCCUUAAUUAAAAAGAGACUAAUUUUAUAGGCAAAAAUUGGGUUUAAUUUAGUUUUCUUUGAUUUCUAGUGAGGCUAACAAUUUUCUAAUGCUCAUUAUUGUUCACUUGUUGAGUGUUCUCUUUGUGAAUUAUUUGUGUGUGUCUUUGGUCACUUAUCUAUUGCAAUUUCAGUGUUUUUAUUUUUUUUUAACAGAAUUAAUUUGGUAGAUUCUUCACAUCUUGAACAUUAAUCUUUGUUACAUGUAUUUUGAAUUUUUCCUCUUAUUUCCUUUUUUAUUGGGGCUAUUUUUAAUUAACAUGAAAUAUUUUAAACUUUCAUAGAGCAAAAUCACAAUUCCCCAACUUUCUUGGUAAUUAAAAAUUCUAGGCUCUACUUAAAAAUUUGCAUUUCUAUGUAAACACUGCCCUCCAUACCUCUGCUCUGAUUCCCUGGAGAGUUAAAAAAGAGUAUGAUUAACACUGUUAUGGGAAAUACAAACCUUGAGGAAACUUUUAGAAAAAUAUUUAUCCAUAUUUUGUUAUAUAAUUAAAGUUAAAUCAUCUAGAAAAUAAUUUGUGAUUUAACUUUUUAUUUCUCCCACUGAGUCUUGGUUUCACAAUGUUUUAUAUAUAGAAAUUAUGUUUAGAGCAGUGGUCUUUAAUCUGGGGGAUUUGCCUCCAAUGGAUGUUUGGCAGUGUCUUGAGACAUUUGUGAUGGCUACAGCUGAGUGGGCAGUGGUGGCGGGGGAUGCUACCGGUGUCCGGCAGGUAGAAAACAGGAUGCUGCUAAACAUCCUACAGGGCAUAGGAGCAUCCGCAACAAGUCAUUAACCAGCCAAACAUGUCAACAGUGCUGCUGUGGGGGAAGUCCCGCUACAGUGUUAGUGCCAGCCAGAAGGAUGAUUUCUACUAUAUAAAUGGAAGAGAAACUUAAUGUCAAAUAAAGUUCCUUUUUAUUUC